Molecule: ribosomal RNA, 301 nt
Filed under: uncultured bacterium
Lineage: Bacteria
Description: partial 16S ribosomal RNA
Rfam family: Bacterial small subunit ribosomal RNA
Source: RNAcentral
CAGCAGCCACGGGAAUACGUAGGUGGCAAGCGUUGUCCGGAAUUAUUGGGCGUAAAGGGCUCGCAGGCGGUUUCUUAAGUCUGAUGUGAAAGCCCCCGGCUCAACCGGGGAGGGUCGUUGGAAACUGGGAAACUUGAGUGCAGAAGAGGAGAGUGGAAUUCCACGCGUAGCGGUGAAAUGCGUAGAGAUGUGGAGGAACACCAGUGGCGAAGGCGACUCUCUGGUCUGUAACUGACGCUGAGGAGCGAAAGCGUGGGGAGCGAACAGGAUUAGAUACCCCUGUAGUCCCUGUCUCUUAUAC